This 238-nucleotide long non-coding RNA is filed under the name Elaeis guineensis (African oil palm). RNAcentral's name for it is "long non-coding RNA (EGUI_LNC051908)". The record is from RNAcentral. Lineage: Eukaryota; Viridiplantae; Streptophyta; Magnoliopsida; Arecales; Arecaceae.
AGAGGAGCUCGGAUGUUGCAAAUCCUAUUGGGUGCCUUGGGCGUUAAGGAGCAGGUGAGGACCACUUGCCGUAGGAGCUCGGUCAGGGGCUUUCCGCAGAUGCAGUCUGGUUUCGUGCAGACUUCGACAGAGGGUCGACCGACGGUGGAUGUCGGAUGGCGCUGGAGAGGUUCAUCCGUCGGAGGGGUCCUGCUACUGGAUUCCGUGAGCACGGCAUUUGCCUGCUUAUAGAAGUUCG